GAUGAACGCUAGCGGCAGGCCUCACACAUGCAAGUCGAGGGGGAAGUUACUUUCGGGUAACAGAGACCGGCGUACGGGUGCGUAACGCGUAUACAAUCUGCCUUUCACUGGGGGAUAGCCCCGAAGAAAUUUGGAUUAAUACCCCAUAGUAUAGUAAUACGGCAUCGUGAUACUAUUAAAGCUUAGGUGGUGAAAGAUGAGUAUGCGUUCUAUUAGUUAGUUGGAGAGGUAACGGCUCCCCAAGGCGAUGAUAGAUAGGGGUUCUGAGAGGGAUGUCCCCCACACUGGUACUGAGAUACGGACCAGACUCCUACGGGAGGCAGCAGUGAGGAAUAUUGGACAAUGGUCGGAAGACUGAUCCAGCCAUGCCGCGUGCAGGAUGAAGGUCUUAUGGAUUGUAAACUGCUUUUGUAAGGGAAGAAUAAGGGCUACGUGUAGUUUGAUGACGGUACCUUACGAAUAAGCAUCGGCUAACUCCGUGCCAGCAGCCGCGGUAAUACGGAGGAUGCGAGCGUUAUCCGGAAUCAUUGGGUUUAAAGGGUCUGUAGGCGGGCUGGUAAGUCAGAGGUGAAAGCGCUCAGCUCAACUGAGCAACUGCCUUUGAAACUGUUGGUCUUGAAUGGUUGUGAAGUAGUUGGAAUGUGUAGUGUAGCGGUGAAAUGCUUAGAUAUUACACAGAACACCGAUAGCGAAGGCAUAUUACUAACAAUUGAUUGACGCUGAUGGACGAAAGCGUGGGGAGCGAACAGG
Molecule: ribosomal RNA, 750 nt
Filed under: Capnocytophaga ochracea
Lineage: Bacteria; Pseudomonadati; Bacteroidota; Flavobacteriia; Flavobacteriales; Flavobacteriaceae
Description: bacterial SSU rRNA
Rfam family: Bacterial small subunit ribosomal RNA
Source: RNAcentral